GCUCAGAUUGAACGCUGGCGGCAGGCCUAACACAUGCAAGUCGAGCGGUAGAGAGAAGCUUGCUUCUCUUGAGAGCGGCGGACGGGUGAGUAAUGCCUAGGAAUCUGCCUGGUAGUGGGGGAUAACGUUCGGAAACGGACGCUAAUACCGCAUACGUCCUACGGGAGAAAGCAGGGGACCUUCGGGCCUUGCGCUAUCAGAUGAGCCUAGGUCGGAUUAGCUAGUUGGUGGGGUAAUGGCUCACCAAGGCGACGAUCCGUAACUGGUCUGAGAGGAUGAUCAGUCACACUGGAACUGAGACACGGUCCAGACUCCUACGGGAGGCAGCAGUGGGGAAUAUUGGACAAUGGGCGAAAGCCUGAUCCAGCCAUGCCGCGUGUGUGAAGAAGGUCUUCGGAUUGUAAAGCACUUUAAGUUGGGAGGAAGGGCAGUUACCUAAUACGUGAUUGUUUUGACGUUACCGACAGAAUAAGCACCGGCUAACUCUGUGCCAGCAGCCGCGGUAAUACAGAGGGUGCAAGCGUUAAUCGGAAUUACUGGGCGUAAAGCGCGCGUAGGUGGUUUGUUAAGUUGGAUGUGAAAUCCCCGGGCUCAACCUGGGAACUGCAUUCAAAACUGACUGACUAGAGUAUGGUAGAGGGUGGUGGAAUUUCCUGUGUAGCGGUGAAAUGCGUAGAUAUAGGAAGGAACACCAGUGGCGAAGGCGACCACCUGGAC
Molecule: ribosomal RNA, 717 nt
Filed under: Pseudomonas trivialis
Lineage: Bacteria; Pseudomonadati; Pseudomonadota; Gammaproteobacteria; Pseudomonadales; Pseudomonadaceae
Description: bacterial SSU rRNA
Rfam family: Bacterial small subunit ribosomal RNA
Source: RNAcentral